RNAcentral lists this ribosomal RNA (407 nucleotides) under uncultured microorganism. Its description in RNAcentral is "bacterial SSU rRNA". It matches the Rfam family "Archaeal small subunit ribosomal RNA", at positions 330 to 745 of the family's 1478-position model. The record is from RNAcentral.
GUGCAGCAGUCGAGAAACUUUACAAUGUGCGAAAGCACGAUAAGGGAACUCUGAGUGCCUCCUAAGGAGGCUGUUCAGGUGUCUAAAAGCACCUGGAGUAAGGGCUGGGUAAGACCGGUGCCAGCCGCCGCGGUAACACCGGCAGCCCAGGUGGUAGCCACUUUUAUUGGGUCUAAAGCGUCCGUAGCCGGUUGAGUAAGUUCCUUGGGAAAUUUGGCUGCUCAACAGUCAAGCUUCCAGGGAAUACUGCUCGACUUGGGACUGGGAGAGGUCAGAGGUACUCCAGGGGUAGGGUGAAAUCCAUUAAUCCCUGGGGGACCACCGGUAGCGAAGGCGUCUGACCAGACCAGGUCCGACGGUGAGGGACGAAGGCUAGGGUCGCGAACCGGAUUAGAUACCCCGGUAGU